CUGACAGAAGAGAGUGAGCACACAUGGUGACUUUCUUGCAUGCUGAACGAAUUCAUGCUUGAAGCUAUGUGUGCUCACUUCUCUCUCUGUCAG
Molecule: microRNA precursor, 93 nt
Filed under: Oryza punctata
Lineage: Eukaryota; Viridiplantae; Streptophyta; Magnoliopsida; Poales; Poaceae
Description: mir-156 microRNA precursor family
Rfam family: mir-156 microRNA precursor family
About the family: This family represents the plant microRNA (miRNA) precursor mir-156. Animal miRNAs are transcribed as ~70nt precursors and subsequently processed by the Dicer enzyme to give a ~22nt product.
Source: Rfam by way of RNAcentral